RNAcentral lists this ribosomal RNA (250 nucleotides) under Glomus sp. Am. Its description in RNAcentral is "partial large subunit ribosomal RNA". It matches the Rfam family "Eukaryotic large subunit ribosomal RNA", at positions 325 to 549 of the family's 3401-position model. Lineage: Eukaryota; Fungi; Glomeromycota; Glomeromycetes; Glomerales; Glomeraceae. The record is from RNAcentral.
GGCGAGAGACCGAUAGCGAACAAGUACCGUGGAGGGAAAGAUGAAAAGAACUUUGAAAAGAGAGUUAAACAGUACGUGAAAUUGUUGAAAGGGAAACGAUUGAAGCCAGUCGUACCUACGGGUAAUCAGCCUUUCGGGUGNAAUUCGGUGGGGNGUGAAGAGUUAAACCCCNCCACNUUUUGCAUGCCCGUGCGCUGGGGUGUACUUGCCCGUNUGNUAGGUAACNUCCAUUUUGGNAGUCCUAAAAUGN